RNAcentral lists this long non-coding RNA (365 nucleotides) under Mustela putorius furo (domestic ferret). RNAcentral's name for it is "lncRNA (ENSMPUG00000025947.1)". Lineage: Eukaryota; Metazoa; Chordata; Mammalia; Carnivora; Mustelidae. The record is from RNAcentral.
GGAAAUAAUCUGGCGUAGGAAUAACUAAGAAAAGGUGGCAGAAGGUUAAAAAGAAAAGGGUUGCUCAGACAGCCUACGGCAAAAGAUAAAUCCACCUUUGUUCAGAGGACAGAGACCAAAGGGAUAUGGGCCACUAUCUACCAUUGGAUCGACUAUAUUGAACCUUUACCUACAGCACUAGCUAGUUUUAAAUUAUAUUGCUUGGUAUUUACACGUUCUUUCUAGUUUAAAACUUCAUCUACCCUCAGCAUAGUCCACAGUUAAUGGGCUGGAAAUACAAACUUCCAUUAAUCCUGACCCUCAAUAUUAUUUCUGUAUUAGCAGAAUAAAGAACACAUUCUAUAAAUGGGGAGGGAAGGAGUGGC